RNAcentral lists this ribosomal RNA (421 nucleotides) under Fusobacteriota bacterium. RNAcentral describes it as "Fusobacteria bacterium partial 16S ribosomal RNA". It matches the Rfam family "Bacterial small subunit ribosomal RNA", at positions 355 to 776 of the family's 1533-position model. The record is from RNAcentral. Lineage: Bacteria; Fusobacteriati; Fusobacteriota.
UGGGGAAUAUUGCACAAUGGACGGAAGUUUGAUGCAGCGACGCCGCGUGGAGGGUGUAGGCCUUCGGGUUGUGAACUCCUUUUUCUCGCGAAAAAGGCACAGUUUUGGCUGUGUUGAUGGUAGUGGGGGAAGAAGCGCCGGCUAACUACGUGCCAGCAGCCGCGGUAAUACGUAGGGCGCGAGCGUUGUCCGGAUUUAUUGGGCGUAAAGAGCUCGUAGGUGGUUCGUCGCGUCCGUCGUGAAAGCCAGCAGCUUAACUGUUGGUCUGCGGUGGGUACGGGCGGGCUUGAGUGCGGGAGGGGUGACUGGAAUUCCUGGUGUAGCGGUGGAAUGCGCAGAUAUCAGGAGGAACACCGAUGGCGAAGGCAGGUCACUGGGCCGUUACUGACACUGAGGAGCGAAAGCGUGGGGAGCGAACAGG